UACGUAGGGUCCGAGCGUUGUCCGGAAUUACUGGGCGUAAAGCGCGCGUAGGUGGUUCGUUAAGUUGGAUGUGAAAUCCCCGGGCUCAACCUGGGAACUGCAUUCAAAACUGACGAGCUAGAGUAUGGUAGAGGGUGGUGGAAUUUCCUGUGUAGCGGUGAAAUGCGUAGAUAUAGGAAGGAACACCAGUGGCGAAGGCGACCACCUGGACUGAUACUGACACUGAGGUGCGAAAGCGUGGGGAGCAAACAGG
RNAcentral lists this ribosomal RNA (253 nucleotides) under uncultured bacterium. Its description in RNAcentral is "partial 16S ribosomal RNA". It matches the Rfam family "Bacterial small subunit ribosomal RNA", at positions 524 to 776 of the family's 1533-position model. The record is from RNAcentral.